RNAcentral lists this unclassified non-coding RNA (183 nucleotides) under rhizosphere metagenome. RNAcentral describes it as "partial ribosomal RNA internal transcribed spacer region". The record is from RNAcentral.
UUCGGUGGAUUUCCACUGUUAUGAGGGGGAUUUCGGUCCCUUCUCUCCUUCCUUGUCUUUUGAGUACCCAAGUUUCCUUGGCAGGCUUGCCUGCCAGCUGGACAACCUAUAACCCUUUUAAUUUUAAAUCAGCGUCUGAAAAUUAUAAUAAUUACAACUUUCAACAACGGAUCUCUUGGUUCU